AGGUCAUUGAGCUUAUCCUCUUCCCAGGCUGAUUUGUUCCACUGUAACCAGCUCUACUUCUGAAGGGCCGCUGUGCUUUGCAGCAAGGAAAAAUCUCUGGAAACAAGACCCAAGGCAGCCCAAUGUGCCUGAAAGCAUGUGUAGCUUUUCCAAGUGCUCCAGCUGACCUAAUAAACGGUGUCCCCUCUCCCUGCCCUUGCCUCACUUACAUCUUGCACCGUGCUCUCUUCGACGCCUCUGUGCUUGUUCCUGCUCUGCUGAGCCCACAAAUAAAGGCACAGCCUCGAGGAGCUGCUGUGGGAGGUGCUCCACUGGCCCAGUUUGGAGGGGGGAAGCACAGGCAUCGUGUGGUGGAGCUGCUCAGUCUGUAAACCAUCCAUCCCACCUCGCCUCUGCCGUGUGGCAGGGACUGGUGGGAAGUGAGUGAAGCUGCUGGUGACACUGGAGACCAGGGAGCAAGGCUGACCUGAUGAUCAUCUCGUUAGAUGCAUCCCAAAGCCCUUCCCAGGCUGAUUUCCUUGGCCUCUGCUGCUGCUGUUGGAAGAAUCCUGCUCACUCAGCUCUCCCACCAUGCCCAUCAAACCUCAGAAAAGGAGGAUGGAUGGGAAGGAGGAUCACCCUGCUCACAUACAACAAAGGUCGCGGGUCAGUUAAAUACAUGCACUGUCUGCACCGAGUCCUGCACGGUGCCAGUGCCCUUCUCGUGGGACAGGCAGAAACAAGCCCCCAGACAAGCCCCCUCGCCGCCCGUGACGCAGAGACACAAAGAUGUGCAUCACUCACCAGGUCAGCGUCGCACUCUCUCUUGCAAGUGCUCUGCGCGUCGACCCACAGGUUGGGGUUCAUGUCAUUGGGGCAUAUCCCAGCGUGGGAAUACCGGAUUGGGGGCAGAGCUCUCCCUUUCAGAGAGACCUCCAGAAGCAAGAGGACACUGCUCUUCCCCAGCAAGAUCCACAUCCACCGAGUGAACAGCACCAACAACAUCUCAGAACUUCUCCAGGGCAGUGGCAGUGUCCGAGCUGGAAGUAGUUCUUGCUUGCUUGGGGUUGCUUUUUUUUGGCAAGCCUUAAAUUUUUGAGGAACCCAGAUGCACCUGACCUCAGUAAAAGCUUCAGCGAGCUCCUCUGCUGCCUCUGUCGAUAGUGCAGUUUGGUCUGGACCUCAUUGGAUUAAAGGUCCUAGGAAGUUAUCCCCUUAUUUUAAGAGAAACGCUACUAGUCUGAGCAGAGUUAGCUCUAUUUAUACCCUGCCUCUGUUAACAAGUCAGAAAAAGUAAACUUGAUUUCUUUGACAGGCACACGCUUCCUAUGUCCUGGUGGCAGUCAGACAGAUUUGUUGCAAGAAAAAAAAGCUGGAAAGAGUUCAAAAGGCUGGAACUGGCAUGGUGGGACCCCUGCAUGUUUCUGAAUGCAGGGAGGCCUUCUUAACCCCUUUAGACCUAAAGUACUUCCCUAUGCUAAGAAUGGCAUUUACUUCUGAAAGGGGACUUGUCUAAAUAACACGGACCUGCGGUCAGGGGAUUUCCCCACGGCAAGGGGCUGCACAAUCACUUGCUAAAAGGAACAAGUAAUAGGAUUGAAGCAAUUAAAGCCAAAAUAUCAUAUUUUAACAGAGGAAGUAGGGGAAGAAAUAACUUAUUUAAACGUAGGAUUGACAAAGCAGAAUGUCUUCAUAACUUCUCCCGGGGCUCCUCUGGGCUUUUUUCUUCUGUGGUGGGGAGAUUUCCAGGAUGCCAGGUUUAAUGCUGCCCUCCAGCCCCACCAGGAAGAUGUUAAAAGUGUCCCUGAAUUCCUCUACAUUUCCUGACAGCCAGAUCCCAUUGUACAGUGCAUUGCUGACCCCUUUAACAGCAACAACAAAAAAAUAGUAGAAGUUCAACACUAUGGAAACCUGCAUAAAGGAAUGUACAGCAUUUUUGCAUUGGGGGGUGGGAGGGAAACUCAGUCAAGCUGAGUUCCUCAUUCCCUGAUUAUUACAGCAAGGGGCUGAUCCUGCUCAUGCUGAACAUGUGCCAAAAUCCAGAGAUGAGUGGCAGAAGUCCGAGUUGCUCAGCACCUUCCAGGAUUAGAGCCUCUGGGCUGAGUUCUGGGCCAGCCUGGGUGGGCCCUGUGUGUUGCUAAGAGCCUCCUGGGAGGAUCAGACCAAGGAUCCCUUGUCCAGAGGCACAUUUCAGCUGUGGGGGAGCAGAGUGGGGCUCUGAAGAAACAGACACAUGUUUGCAUCAGACAGACAGAGCUAUGUCCUCCUCCAUCCAGAGGGAUAUUCUCCAAGGACAGGCAAGUCCCACUGCAGCUUUCUGCUUUUGGGCUCCUAGGUAUCAUGUUCCUGGAUCACUCCCUUGGCCACUUGAACACAGCCAGGAGAGAGGAAAACACUGCCAUAAAUCUCCCUGUGAAUGCAGGCAGGCAGCUCCUGAGGGCAGAGGAGGCAGUGAGGACUCCAAGCAACCCUUGACAGCUGCCCUGUCCCUGCCAGGACAUCCCAGACGUGCUGUUACCCAACCUGAGGAGCACAUCCAGGAGGGACACCACAGGCUACCCUGGGCUGGCUCAGGGACAGUAAGGACUCUGGUUGUCCCAGCAUGGACAGCCAAGCUCUACCUAAUGCACUCACUGUCUCCUCAGUUUCAUCAGGCUGUUUUCUUGCCUGGUUUAACUUAGUUGAACUCUGCUGACCUCAGUGGAUCUGACUGGGGACUCCAGAACAACACCAGCUAAUGCCAGCUGUGAAUCAGGGUCUCUGUCAAGGUCCCUGGGCACAGUUUCUCUGUUCCUCCUUGUUUAUAAAGCACUGUGCAUUUUUUCUUUAAUAUAAGCAAUAAAGGAACCCUGGUUCUCCAUUUCUAUGAGCAAAUCUAUUAUGAAAACCAAAUUUAUGGCUUAUCUUCUCUCAUCCAUGUCAGAUACUGAUGUGAUAAAGAUCUUCCCAAAUGAGAUUCAGCCUUAGAAGGAACCCCACUACUACACAAAAAUCCCUCUCUCUGAUCAAGAUGUUGAACUGAGUCUGCUGGAUGAGGAGCUGGGAUGAGCUUCUCUGGACCUUGGAUGGACAAACCUGAGCCCCGAUGGCACAAAGACAACAUCCUGGGUCUGCUCCCAGCAGUGAGGACAUGCAAUCUCUGACCAGCCUGUGCUCCACAGAUGUCCAUCCACCACUACACACCAGUCCCGAAAAGCCCUCCUAGGAUGCCCAGGAUCCUAACUGUUGUUGAGUUAUUUGUAAAUUGUAAUUUCUUUGCCUUUUUUCUUACUCUUACCAAGCUUCUAUGGGUUGUCCCUCCCCUCCUCUGCUGUGCCAAGAAUUGACCCAGUGUUUGGUGUGACCCCUUUUAAUUGAGGAGGGAAACAGGAUUCUCUGCUGCACAGAAAACUAUAAUUGUAUUUGGUUGGAUUUUUUUUUUCUGAAGCCACUGUUAAAGGAGCAGCAAACCGUUGAUCAUAUUUACGAGCAAUCCUCAUCUGGAG
This is a long non-coding RNA of Corapipo altera (White-ruffed manakin), 3464 nucleotides long. RefSeq lists it as uncharacterized. Lineage: Eukaryota; Metazoa; Chordata; Aves; Passeriformes; Pipridae. The transcript is spliced from 5 exons. The record is from RefSeq and is a predicted model, not a curated record.